Molecule: unclassified non-coding RNA, 299 nt
Organism: Callithrix jacchus (white-tufted-ear marmoset)
Lineage: Eukaryota; Metazoa; Chordata; Mammalia; Primates; Cebidae
Rfam family: Metazoan signal recognition particle RNA
About the family: The signal recognition particle (SRP) is a universally conserved ribonucleoprotein. It is involved in the co-translational targeting of proteins to membranes.
Source: Ensembl
GCCUGGAGCGGUGGCGCGUGCCUGUAGUCCCAGCUACUCCGGAGGCUGAGGUGGGAGGAUCCCUCGAGCCCAGGAGUUCGGGGCUGCAGUGCUAUGCCUAUCAAGUAUCUGCACUAAGUUUGGCAUCAAUAUGGUGACCUCCCGGGAGCAAGCGACCACCAGGUUGCCUAAGGAGGGGCGAACCGGCCCAGGUCGGAAACGGAGCAGGCCAAAACUCCAGUGCUGAUAGGUAGUGGGAUUGCGCCUGUGAAUAGCCACUGCACUCCAGCCUGGGCAACUCCAGCGAGAUCCUGUCUCUU